CGUAGCGGCUCAGUCUCGUGCUGGGCAGUUUGGGGUGGUCACGUGCCUCUAGACCAGCUGAACGGCCGCUAGCUCCCUUCCCAGGGCGCGCGGAGGGGGCGGCCGCGCAGCGCCGCGGGAUGUGCUCCGUGCAGGGGAUCCCCAGUCCCGGCACCACCAUCAGCCUGAGGGUCUCCUUCGUGGACGUUCACCCGGAGGUGCCGCUAGUGCGGCUGUGGGGCCUGCUGGGCGAGCGCCGGGAGGAGUAUGCCCGGCUGCACCAGGACAUCCAGGCUAAGGCCGGGCCGCGCCUGGUCGGCGCCCCGGGAGCCGUCUGGCCGGCGGCGGGGGCCGGGCUGUGCUCGGGGGACCUGUGCCUGGUGGAACUAGGGGACCAUUGGCACCGCUGCCGGGUCGUGAGCCGCCAGGGCCAGCGCUGCCGAGUCUUCCUGCUGGACGAGGGUCGCACGGUGGCGGCCGACGCCUACUACUUGGCCCGGGGCAGGGACGAAUUCUUCCACCUGCCCUCCGAGGUGCUGGGCUGCGUGCUGGCCGACCUGGUGCCGCCGGGAGACGGGGCGGCCGUGGCGGGCAGCGGGGAGCAGCCGGCCGCCAGCUGGACGGCGGGCGCCCUGGAGUUCCUGAACUACCUGCACGCCAAGGAGGUGUCGGGGCUGGUGCGAGAGGUGCUGAUGCCGCAGUGCCUGGUCCUGCUCGAGCUGCCUUCGCUGCUGGCCCAGAUGCACCACCUGGGCCUGGCCAAGCAGGUCACUCCCAGCUGCUUCCGAGCCCUGCUCAAGCGCUGCCUGGCCGCGCCCUGCCUGCACGGCCAGCCCAAGCCGGAGCCCCCCGGCCCUACGUCGGCUCAGCAGUACCCUCUUGCUACCACUCCCCAGCCGGGCCCGGCCGCCCUGGAUUUCUUCUACCCUCGGCUGCAGCUGGGGGUGACUGAGCCGGUGCUAGUGACCCAGAUCUCCGACCCGCACCACGUCUAUUGCCAGCUGCAGAGCCUCUCCCAGGAGAUCCAGCGCCUCUCGGACUCCUUGCACCAGAGGUACGAGGCGGCGGCCAGGCGGGAGCAGGAUCCGCUACCCAAGCCGGGCGCCCCUUGCGCCGCACGCUGCAUAGACGGGCGCUGGUACCGCGCGCUGUUGCUGGAGAUCUUCCCCGGGGAGCAGGGUCGGCUGGUGGCCCAGGUGAUCUGCGUGGACUACGGCAGGAAGGAAUUCGUCAUCGGGGCUAACCUCCGCCGCCUGCCCCUGGAGUGUUUCCGCAUGCCGGUGGUGACCUACCCGUGCGCCCUGCAGGGCAUCUCGGACAGGGGCUGCGGCUGGUCCUGCUCCCAGCUCAGCGGGCUCAAGGCGCUGCUGCUGGGCAAGGCGGUGAGCGCCCGCAUCGAAACCUACAGUCCCUUCGAGCACCUCUACUACGUGAACCUGUAUGGGGAGAACGGCCUCAACCUGAACUGCCUCUACGGGGUGCAGAGCGGCUGUCUGGCCCACAGCCUGCUGCGGGGCGGCCAGGGAGCGCAGGAGCGGCCGGAAGAGGAGGACGCCGCCUCUCCUAAGGAGCUGGGGCCGCCGCCGGACACACUCCUCGCAACUACGGCUCAGAGGGACCCGGCCACUGCCCACCUGCCGGGCGUGCGGGUGAAGGUGGGAGUGUUCUACCAUGCCAAGGUGUCCUUCGUCCGAGACCCGUCCGAGUUCUGGCUGCGGCUGAAGGAGCACCUCCUGCCCUUCAGCCAGCUGACGCGGAGCAUGAGCGACUUCUACUCCCGAGCCCAGAAGCUGGACGGCAUCGUCCUGGAGCCCCAGCCGAGAUCCCUGUGCUGCGCCAAGUGGAAGGAGAACGCCUACUAUCGGGCCGUUAUCACCAGUGUGCUGGGGAAUGGGGUGGAAGUGCACCUGGUGGAUAGAGGCAACAGGGAGAUCUUGGAUUGGUAUGAGGUAAAGGAGCUGCUGCCGCAGUUCAGGGAGCUGCCUGCUGUAGCUCUGAAGUGCUGUUUGGCAGAUGUCUCUCCCCUGGGAGAGACAUGGAGUAAAGAGUCUGUGGCUCACUUUAAAAGGGCAGUGCAGAGCAAAGAGCUGUUGAUCCAGGUGUUGGGUACGCAGGGUGACAAGCAUGUGAUUGAAAUUCUUGACCAGUCUCAAACAGGGGAGAAAAAUAUAAGCAAAAUUUUGUCCCAAGGAGGCUAUGCAAAAUUCCAAGGGUCUGAGAUUCCAGACACUCUUCAGAAGUUAUCUGUUCAGUCUCUGAGGCAGGAUCCCAAAGAAUAUGCUGGCGAGGGGGAGCUAGUAAGUUCAACAGCCAGGAAGAGUGGCGUGCAAACCAAAACAAUAAGAGACAAUAUAGCGCUGAACCCCUCUGUGCCUUUGACAGUCAAAGACCAGCCUACUGCAGAAAAUUGCCAUUUAUCAAGUGACUCGGCUCCUGAUGAAAAAAAAAUUAAGGGAAACCUAAAUCUGCCCUCCUCUCUUAUACAGUACUACUUGGAAAUAAAACCAGGAUCUCCUUAUGAAGGUCAGCUGGAAGUUGGUAGUACAGUUCAGGUGAUAAUAUCUUAUGUUGAAAGUCCUGGCUACUUUUGGUGUCAGUUGAGGAGAAACAACCAAGAACUUAAGUCAUUAAUGGCUGAAAUUCAGGAUUAUUGCAAGACUUCAGCACAGCCAUAUUGUUGGGCAAGUCCAGUGUGUUUAGCUAAGUAUUCAGAGGAUGAGAAAUGGUACAGAGCUUUGAUUAUUAGUGGAGAGUGUUCUACAGAACAGGUAGAAGUAAUAUAUGUUGACUAUGGGAACAAGGAGCUGGUUUCUGUAAAGAAUCUCUGCUCAAUUAAUGCAAACUUUCUGAAAUUAAAGGCUCAGGCUUUCAGAUGCAGCCUUUACAAUUUAAUCCAACCAAAUGGUCAGGAUCCUUUUGUUUGGGAUGAAAAAGCAAUCCAAGCUUUUCAGGAGUUUGUUGAUGACACAGCAGAUCAUUUGGAACUGAAGUGUACAAUAUUUGCUCUAGCUGCCAUAAACAAUAAAGAGCUGUUUAAUGUUGUGGACUUAAUUACACCUUUUCAGAGUGUGUGCCAUUUUUUAACCGAGAAAGGGUUGGCCAGACCUGUACCGUCUCAAAAACCUCUGGCAUCCACCAUUCAGCUACACUCUUACUAUUAUUCUACACAUGACAUCAAAAUUGGAAGUGAAGAAGAGAUUUAUGUAACACAUGUUGACAAUCCAUGGAAAUUUUACUGCCAACUUGCCAGAAGUGCAAAUGUCCUAGAACUGCUCACCAAUAACAUUGGUCGACUAAGCAAAGUACUGCACAGUUUAAAAAUGUCACAAAACCCCGGAAACCUAUAUCUUGCAAGGUAUACUGACAAUCACUGGUACAGAGGAGCAGUUUUGAAAACCAAGCCUAAUAAAGAAGUCAUCUUUGUAGACUUUGGGAAUACACAGGUGGUAAAGAAAGAAGACUUGAUUCCUAUACCUAGUGAUGCAUAUGAAAUCUUACUUUUGCCAAUGCAAGCUAUAAAAUGUUCACUAUCUGAUAUCUCUAACGUACCGAAAGAAGCUACCACAUGGUUUGAAACUGCUGUCUUGCAUAAGCCUUUAAAGAUGAUAGUGGUAGCAAAAGAAUCUGAUGGAAGGCUGAUAGUUGAACUGUAUGAUGGCAAUAUUCAAAUUAAUGCAAAAAUUAAAGAGGGUUUAAGCUUACCAAGAAAUAGAGAGUCUAACAAAUAUGUAGAAAAUGAAACUCUACAUUCUAAAAACAUAAAUGCUAAAGAGAGGAAUGAAAACAUGAAGUCAUCAUCAACAUACAUGAGAAAGUCUGAGACUAAAACUUGGAGAUCUGAAAUCCAAGGAGAAGACUGCAAUACCAAGACCAGCUUUGUAUGUAAGGAUGUAAAACACUUCCAACCUGCUGCAAAAAGAGAGUUGUCAACCAAGUUUCUAGGAUCUGUGGAAAGAUUUAACAGUAACAAAGUUUUUCCCUCAGCAAGUACUUCGUUAGUAGGUAAAAAAGUAGAUGAAGAUAAAUCUUUACGCUUUAUAAAGAAAGAGAUAAAGUCUGAUAUUAAACUUGAUACUGUUAAAACUAGAAAUCAAGAAGAAAAUAGUACACUUUUCCCAAUUAAAAGCAUAUGUGACUUGCCUCCAAGGAACUUAGUGCCUGGUCUGAAGACUUUAGUAUACAUUUCUCAUGUAAAUAACCCUUCAGAUUUUUAUAUUCAAUUAGCAAGUGAUGAACCUCAACUUAACAAUAUUUCAGAAGGAUUAAACAAUAAAACAGGAACAGAGAGUCUCAGUCAACAACAGAUGCAAGUAGGAGACUUAAUUGGUGCCGUUUUUUCAGAAGAUGGCUUGUGGUAUCGAGCUGUAGUAAAAGAAAAACUAUCUGAUGAACAGAUAAGUGUACAAUAUAUAGAUUAUGGCAACACUUCUGUAGUUAAUGUUUGUGAAACAAAUAGACUGCUUGAAAAAUAUUCAUCAAUUCCAAUGAUGAGUAUUCAUUCUUCACUGGCUGGAGUUCAGUCCAAACAGUUUACAAAUUGGACACAGGAAGCCGUGAGUUAUUUUUCAGAAAGAACAAGUGAAGUUAAAAUAAACUGUGAAUUUGUAGAGAAACUCAAAGACAGAUGGGAAAUUGUUCUCUAUGACGAGCAAGGUAUGAUAGCAGUGGAUCUGAUUAAUGAAACCUUUGGAAUGAGAGAAGAAUCUCAGUCAACAGAAGCACUUGACAGAAGAGAGAGUGGUGCUGAUGUGGCAAAUCAGUGUGAACCUCUGCCUUUUGAAGAGAAAAAUAAAGCUUCUAGUAUAACUGACACUAAAUCAUUCUUCUGGAAGAUUCCAGAGGUAGCUCAGACUGUAGAAACCUAUGUCACUGUUGUAAAGGGCCCAGAAUACUUUUGGUGUCAGAUGGCUGACGCAGAUAAUAUAAACUACUUAGAAAAAAAACUACAGGAAACUGGAGAACUUGAAAUAAGCAGUGUGGAUGACUUCAGAUCUAGUAUUAGAAGUGGUGAUAUUUGCAUAGCAAAGUAUAGUGAAGAUGGAAAACUUUACAGAGCAAAAGUUAGCAGCGUAAAAGGUAACAACCUAACUGUCAGACAUGUGGAUUAUGGAUCUGAGGAACUUGUUGGCAGAGAGAUGAUUAGACAAAUUCCUGAUCAAUUGCUUACAAUACCUAUGCAAGCAUUUCCAUGCUGUCUAUCUGGAUUUAAUUCCCCAGAGGGUUCAUGGAGUAAUGAAGCAAAAGACAAGUUCUAUGACAUGACUGCAGAAUAUUUACUAGAGGUCACAGUAAUGGAAAUACAAAAGGAUAACUCUUCUGAAAUUCCCUUAUCUGUUGUUAAACUGGAAUGUAAUGGAAAAAACAUUAAUGAGGAGAUGAAACGGUUUUGGCAGUAUAACACUGACACGACUUUGGCAAACAUUCAGAACGCUUUCAGUGAAAAGAAUGAGGGUCCAGGGACAGAUAAUACAGAUGCUGUUUGCCUUGAAAGAGCUGCGGCUUCUACUGGAGAUGCCGAGCAAGAAAAUAGUGCUCUGCAGGAUGCUUUACGCUGUGCAGAACCAUUCCACCUGACAGACAGUGGAUGUCUAAAUACUGCAGGAAUUGAAGAAGUGAUUCUCAAAACUGCUAAUGAGCAUCAGACCAAUUUUGAAAUACUUAAUAAAGUGGAGAAUCCUUUAUUGAAAAAAGAGAGUGAUAGCGAAACAAAGGUAUAUGUAGAACCGAAAACAUCUGAACCACAGCUUCUUGCCAAUAGUGAAACAAAGGACUUAGAUCUUGAGCCAUCUGAAGCACAGUUCUUGGAGGAUGACGAACUCAAAGCAGAGACGUUAGAAUUAUCACUUGAAGUACAGUCUCUCCUGGGUGAAGAAAGAAAGGAGCAGUUGGCACUUCCAUCAGCUGAGGUGCAUCCUUCCCUGGAUGAGAAUGUGAAGCUGUUGGAAAUGGAGCAGUUACAAAUGCACUCUUCACUUGAUGAACUUAAAAAGCUCUUACUGGAGCUAGAGUCACUCGAAGUGUACCCUUCCUUGGGUGACAAAACAAAAGAGAUUCUGGAACUGGAGUCAUUAGAAAUGCAGACUUCCUUGACCGAUGAAACAAAGGAAAAAUUGUCAGAACUGGAAUCACUCCAAGUACAGCUUUUGGAUGAUGAAACAGGGGAACUAAUGAACCUGAAAUCACUUGAAGUGUCACCUUCAUUUAGUAAUAGAGAGAAUUGGUUGGAAAUGGAGUCAUCACUUGAAAUACAGCCUGUAUGCGGUGAUGAAAGAGGGAAACUAUUCGAACUGAUACCAUGUGAGGAGCAGAUUUCCUUGGGUGAAGAAACAAAGGAGAGAGUGGAUUGGGACUUGGACUUACUUGAAGUUCAUCAAAUGAAAGCUGUACCAACUGAGUUGGAAGUGGAGUCUGCCCUAGUAAAAACUUUACUUAGUAAUGGAGCCAGAAAGGAGCUGGAACCAGAGAUGCACAAAGUACAGUCUUUGCUUGGUGCUGAAAGAGAAGAGGUAUUGGAACUGAUGCCAUUGGAAGUGCAGGCUUCUCUUGGUGAUGAAACAAGGAAGGACCCAUUAGAGUUGGAACCAUCUAAUUUAGAGCUUUCUGUAGAUAGUGCAGAUCAGCUUUCAUUCCCCAAAACUGACUUAAAAAAACAAGUGUCUACUUGCCCUGUAGAGCUGUGUGGUGUAGGACAAGCUGAUAGCAGAGGUGAAAAAUGUAAGAAAUGGCUAACUUUGCAAGAGAAGAGUUGUGCAGAACAGAUGGAAUCAGACUUGCAUAAAGUGUUCAGAGAGUAUAAAACUAUUCUUGUGAGUGGGGAGUCCUUGAGGCAUAACCCCUCAGAUGAAGAAGAAAUUGAAAUAAGAGAAAAGCAGGAUGUAACUUUAGCUGGUCAUGGUGCAGAGCAAAGUGAGCAUGCCUGUAAUCUAGAGGGGUUUGCUGUUGGCUCCAAAUGUAUGGUGUGGACAUGUCUGAAGUGGUGUGAGGCUCGGAUUUUGGAGAUAUCUGAUGAAGGCACCAAGGUUUUGAAUCUCUCUACUGGCAAUGAGGAGAUAGUGAAUCCUGAGCAUGUUUGGAAUGGCAUUCCUGAAGUGACGAAGAGUCCAUAUGAGGCAGCGUUCCAUGUGACAGAUAAGGAGUGCAAGUUAUCAGUGGAGGGCUCAGAGUUGAAAGGUAGUACUUCUAUUUUUCUUUCUAAACUCCUGCCAUAUGAAGAAUUCAUUGUUAGUUGGAUGUUAAGUAUCUGUCUUUUGCUUCAAAAGGCUAAAAGCAUGAUAUUCUAGUAUAUUAUAAACAGAAUAACUUCCAGCUGUGAAAUGCAAUUGGACUAACUGGUCACUUUCGAAUAAUUUUUUGGGUUCUUCACUAGCAGGUACAGCACAGGCAGUAACAGUGCAAGACCCCCGCAUAUUGCCUUGUGUGGGAGGACUAUCCCUAAGGGGAAAUAAUAGUUCUGUUUUCAUGCCUAGUCAAAUCCUUGGCCUUUCUGCUGAGUGUACCAGUUAUGGCUAUCUCUUCGUACUUUUCCACUUGGAGAAUUGAACUGUGAUCACCAAGUCAGGUCUUGUAGGUCCCCAAAUCUUUGUAAAAUGGUAGUGACUGUCACAUGAAAGUCUUUGUAUCCAUUACUGAUCACCUGAGGCACGUGGUCUCUUUGUAGCUCUUCCCUUAUUUUUGUUCUUUCUUACAAAAAAAAAGGACAAGAAACCCUUAUGUCCUUCUGUUUUUUUCUUUGAGAUGAUGGGGUUUAACUUGCCAACUUGUUGACUGAUACUAGAAAUAAAAAGCUUAGCUGGUGAUACUUUCUUCCUGCCUUUUUACAGUGCCUGAAAAAGCUAUUAGCUAAUCUGCUGUUCUCAUUUGAGUCAAAGGUGUAUAAUAGACCUUCCUACAACUAGCAUUGGUUUACUUAAGUUUGUCUGGUUUUUUGCCAGGGUUCUUUUUUUUCAGUACUGUAAUGUACACAUAGAGGAUGGCAACCUACUACUGCUAUCAGGCACUCCAUUAGUUCAAGUGACAGAGAUCUGUGGUGGAUUGAAAAAAAAAAGGGCUAGUUGUGGCUCAGAUGUAAUGGUUGACCCAUAUAUGUUGUCCAGCAGUCCUGAAAAUACCACAGAGUAAGGCUUCUAGUUCACUAUCGUCACGUGUUGGAGAAGAAAAGUCUUAUGACCAUGUAUUUUCCCGAGAUGACUGAGUUAUACAUUGUAGAAGUAUUUUAAGCAUGGUUUUCAAGCAGCUGAGUAAAUAAUGUCUAACUUGUAUGCUAUAUUUCUGUAAUAGCACUUCACACUUGUGUAAGACAACAAAAUGCCUACAUGGAAUCUAUAGAUGUUUUGAUAGUGCUGGCAUCUAGCUUCUUAAAAUUGCGCUGCCUUCAUUUAAGUAAGAAUUUGGGCAGCCCUGGACCAGUGGCGUUUCAGCUAUUGAAUGUUUUAGUCUUUUGCACCAGUAGUUGUAAUAACUAGAUUAUUAAAAUUUUUGCAUAUGUAGAUUGCUUAAACUCUUUAUUUCUAUUGGAACUAUACUUGAUUUAAGUUUGGGUUUGCUUAAAUGAAGGUUAUUCAGAUGUAUACAAACGACUGAAUGUUAUGCAACACUGCUUUCUGAUGAACACUGAGAAGAUUUCUUUGUUAGAAAAGCUCUCCUAAAAAAAAUUAGAGGAUAUUUUGCACCAGUUACUUUGAAUGUUUUGUUCUCCUUUAUGGUAAACAAUAUUUACUUCAGUUUGAACUCUGCAUUUAUACUACUAUACUAACUAUGGAACAAGCUGGAAUAAAGCUGAUGCUGAUGCAUUAUCAUCUUGUCUUGAUCUUUUAGAUUUCUCCACUACACUACUUUCUUUAGUGUAUAAGGGACACUUCCUUUAUCUAUAAUUAAUUGACUACAAUCUGUUGGAUGAACACGCUUUUUAAAAACAGGCCAAUAAGUAACAGAGCACCCCAGGAAUAUUAAACGUAAGAGCAUAAGAAUGGCCAUACUGGGUCAGAUGAAUGGGUCCAUCUAUACUCCUGGGGCAAUGCUGCACCACUGCGCGCAUACAGAAUUCAUGUCCUCUGCAGAUUUCUUUGCUUCCCCACAGAAAAUGACGGGGAAGCAAAGGGAAGCCACAAGAGUGGUCAUGCAACCCUCCCCAGCAGUGCGGGUAUGUCGUUUCGGGCACCUGGAGCAGUUGGCGGAGAGGUAAAUCACCUUGGGAAGGGGCUGGGCACACCCAAGCCGCUGGCUCCUACCCUGUGCUGGGCUCAGCUGCAAGUCCUGGCUGGGUUGAGGAGUGGUGGGGGGAGGCCAGAACUUCCUCUUCCCUUACCAAGGAGCCGCCGGGGCCAGGUAAGACUCACCCCCAGAAACUUCCCCUGACUGCAGGAAGCUCUGCACCCCCUCUUACUGCUUGCCCCUAUUGCUCAUCCCAUGUGCAUCUAGACCCCCCCAUACCUAGAAUCCCCCCCCCCACAGAAUCCCUUGCACUCGAACCCCCACCCUGCUGAACCUCAUCCCCUGCAUCCAGAGCCCUCCUGCACCUGAACCCUCUUUUCCCCCGCUAAGCCUCACUCCCCACACUUGGACCUUGCCAUCAAGGUCCUCCCCCCUGCAUCCAGACCCCCACCCCCUGCACCCAGACUAUCCCCAUUUUCCCCCUGCACCCAGGUGCCCACCCCAUUGAGCCCAACCAACUGCACCUGGACCUCCACCACACUAAGCCCCACUCCCCCAGCAUCACCUUCAGAGUGCCAUUCCCCUUGCACUCAGAACCCCUCAACAAGCCCCUUUGUAUCCAGAUCCCCCACUAAGCCACCCAUACCCAGAUUACCCCACACAGAACCCUCUCACCCCGCACCUGGAUCCCCUCGCAUUAAACCCCUCCACACUUGGAUCCUGCCAGACUGAGCCUUCUUGCCCCACACCUGGAUCGGGGGCCAGGGUUGGGCAUGUGUGAGAGACUGUCCCUCUUGCUUACUAUUUUGGUGCACCUGGCAUGGAGGGACAGGGCCCUGGGGUGUUUGUGGGGCAGGCCUGGCCCCUGCACUGUCAAAGUUGGGUCAACCUCCUGGCCAAGUCUGUGUUGGGGGUGGGGUGGAGGCAGCACUGCAGGGUGAUCUUCCACCUCUGUGCAGCCAGUGGACUGUGCUCCCCGCUGCCAUGCUGGAGCCU
RNA transcript from Trachemys scripta elegans, 10125 nucleotides. It is a transcript of the gene named tudor domain containing 6, with no coding region annotated. The record is from RefSeq and is a predicted model, not a curated record. The transcript has 5 exons. NCBI's taxonomy places the organism in Eukaryota, Metazoa, Chordata, Testudines, Emydidae.